Molecule: ribosomal RNA, 497 nt
Filed under: uncultured bacterium
Lineage: Bacteria
Description: partial 16S ribosomal RNA
Rfam family: Bacterial small subunit ribosomal RNA
Source: RNAcentral
GAUGAACGCUGGCGGCGUGCCUAAUACAUGCAAGUCGAGCGAACAGACGAGGAGCUUGCUCCUCUGACGUUAGCGGCGGACGGGUGAGUAACACGUGGAUAACCUACCUAUAAGACUGGGAUAACUUCGGGAAACCGGAGCUAAUACCGGAUAAUAUAUUGAACCGCAUGGUUCAAUAGUGAAAGACGGUUUUGCUGUCACUUAUAGAUGGAUCCGCGCCGCAUUAGCUAGUUGGUAAGGUAACGGCUUACCAAGGCGACGAUGCGUAGCCGACCUGAGAGGGUGAUCGGCCACACUGGAACUGAGACACGGUCCAGACUCCUACGGGAGGCAGCAGUAGGGAAUCUUCCGCAAUGGGCGAAAGCCUGACGGAGCAACGCCGCGUGAGUGAUGAAGGUCUUCGGAUCUUAAAACUCUGUUAUUAGGGAAGAACAAAUGUGUAAGUAACUAUGCACGUCUUGACGGUACCGAAUCAGAAAGCCACGGCUAACUACGUG